CUCUUCUACAACACCACAAUAAUCAGGUAUAAAACAAAUGUGCAUGCAGCUGAGGUCAUACUUUUAUAGAAGGGCCCUGUGAGUGAGCUCCUUUUUUCCACAGUAGAGAAAGGAAAAAAAAGCAUGUCGCUCCAGUAAGUUUAAUCCAGAUGCUUCCACAGAUGCUUUAGCCACCCCCAUGUGUCCAGUGAGUGAGGGGAAUGGGGGGUUUGGGUAUCCUAUUCUACUAUCCAUAAUGGAAUGUUCCAGUGAGGUUUAUCAUAAUGAGGUCUGUGAGUCAGGAGGAACCAAUUUCUAUUUUCUUUCCUUUGGAAAAAGUAAUGAACAUGGGAAAGUUACUGGUAACACAGGCUAACUUACAUUUUGUGAAUUUUAAGCAUCAAAUAAAGUAUCAAAUAAAUAACAGUGAAAAUAUAAUUCUGAGCUCGACUCCUGUGUACUUUUUCAAUAUAAAAAUUAUGUUUUUUUUAGGGAGGUAGUUGGAACCGCCAGAUCUCCUUGUGUCAUCACUGCAUCUCAGUGCUAGAAGCGUCACUACAGACCCUGGUUCGAUUCCAGGCUGUAUCACAACCGGCAGUGAUUGGGAGUCCAUAGGGCGAGGCUAAAUUGGCCCAGUGUCGUCCGGGUUAGUGUUUCGCCGGGAGUAUCCUCCCUCAAGACAGGCCUGCUGCUGCAUGUCUCUACAAAGACAAUGUAUGUAAACCAGUCCUAAAACUGAGCAUGAUUGCCGCUGCAGUGGAGCUGAUUGACGGAUGAAUUUAACGGAUGGAUGGAGAAGGAAGGCAGAGCCUCAGGGAAGGUUACAUUACAAAGAGCUGAUAGGACCUGAGCCCAAAGACCGUGCCCCAGGACGACCUGACAUGAUGACUCCUUGCUGUCCCCAGUCCACCUGACUGUGCUGCUGCUCCAGUUUCAACUGUUCUGCCUUACUAUUAUUCGACCAUGCUGGUCAUUUAUAAACAUUUGAACAUCUUGGCCAUGUUCUGUUAUAAUCUCCACCCGGCACAGCCAGAAGAGGACUGGCCACCCCACAUAGCCUGGUUCCUCUCUAGGUUUCUUCCUAGGUUUUGGCCUUUCUAGGGAGUUUUUCCUAGCCACCGUGCUUCUACACCUGCAUUGUUGUUUGCUGUUUGGGGUUUUAGGCUGGGUUUCUGUACAACACUUUGAGAUAUCAGCUGAUGUAAGAAGGGCUUUAUAAAUACAUUUGGUUUGAUUUGAACAGCCCUGUUCCAUUUAAAUGAACGUUGCAUCGUGUUUUUUAACUGGUCGUUCUGAACAGCCCUGUUCCAUUUAAAUGAAUGUUGCAUCGUGUUUUUUAACUGGUCGUUCUGAACAGCCCUGUUCCGUUUAAAUGAACGUUGCAUCGUGUUUUUUAACUGGUCGUUCUGAACAGCCCUGUUCCGUUUAAAUGAACGUUGCAUCGUGUUUUUAACUGGUCGUUCUGAACAGCCC
Long non-coding RNA from Oncorhynchus keta (chum salmon), 1452 nucleotides. RefSeq lists it as uncharacterized. The transcript is spliced from 3 exons. Lineage: Eukaryota; Metazoa; Chordata; Actinopteri; Salmoniformes; Salmonidae. The record is from RefSeq and is a predicted model, not a curated record.